CCUUAGAUGUUCUGGGCCGCACGCGCGCUACACUGACAGAGCCAACGAGUAUAAACCUUAACCGAGAGGUUUGGGUAAUCUUGUUAAACUCUGUCGUGCUGGGGAUAGAGCAUUGCAAUUAUUGCUCUUCAACGAGGAAUAUCUAGUAAGCGCAAGUCAUCAGCUUGCGUUGAUUACGUCCCUGCCCUUUGUACACACCGCCCGUCGCUACUACCGAUUGAAUGGCUCAGUGAGGCCUUCGGACUGGCUCAGGGAGGUCGGCAACGACCACCCAGAGCCGGAAAGUUGGUCAAACUUGGUCAUUUAGAGGAAGUAAAAGUCGUAACAAGGUUUAGAAUAAUGACCUUCUGCAGUAACGCUUAUGAGAAGCCUUUGCGACCCCGCAAGGGGUACCUGCCGCGACUGUAAACAAGAAUGCAAGUAUUAAAUCGCAAGUCAGUUCAACUGGCAACACUUUCGAAUUGCGGGGAUACCCUAAAGCCCUUCUCUACCAAACCAGCUGGGAAAUCAGCUGGCGGCCCAUGCUAAUCACAUGGGGUAUGGUAACAACGAGAAGGGAUAAUUUAGUAUGGGCAAUCCGCAGCCAAGGCCCUACGGCGUAAGCUAUGGGAAAGGUUCACAGACUAAGUGGAAGUGGGUUGUAAAACUUUACAGCUUAAGAUAUAGUCGGGCCCUGUAAGAGAUUACGGGGGAGUUACUAAUAAUGACACAGAACUGACCGCUUUACCCUCACAGGGGCAGCUUUCGAAUUCUCGUCAACCUGGUACAUGCCGUUCCGUAGGUGAACCUGCGGAAGGAUCAUUACAUACAAAAGUUUAUACUUUUUAAACCCAUUGUGAACCAAAAACCCUGAACUGCUUCGGUAGCAGGCCCGUUCCGUUUACGACGGUUGGGUGCCGUCAGCCUACCGGUAGCAAACCUAUUAAACUUGUUUUGAAAACUUGUCUGAAAACAAUCAUUUUCGAAUGAAAAUUAAAACUUUCAACAACGGAUCUCUUGGUUCUCGCAUCGAUGAAGAACGCAGCGAAACGCGAUAGUUAAUGUGAAUUGCAGAAUUCAGUGAAUCAUCGAGUCUUUGAACGCACAUUGCGCCUUUUGGUAUUCCGAAAGGCAUGUCUGUUUGAGCGUCAUUUCAACUCCUUCAACCCUUAGGUUGGUUUUGAGCUCGGAACACCCUUCUUGCAAGGGACCCGGCUUUAAAGUUGAACGCUCUGCGGGUGACUCUACCGAACCGAACAUAGUAAUAAGCUUCUUUGCCUUGUUCCGCUUAGGUAUUUGGGUCAGCUUCGCCUGAACAACAAUCUUUUUUUUUAAGGUUUGACCUCAGAUCAGACAAGGAUACCCGCUGAACUUAAGCAUAUCAAUAAGCGGAGGAAAAGAAACCAACAGGGAUUGCCUCAGUAACGGCGAGUGAAGCGGCAACAGCUCAAAUUUGAAAUCUGGAGUCUUCGACUUCCGAGUUGUAAUUUGAAGAGGAUGUUUCGGUUGUGGCCAUGGCCUAAGUUCCUUGGAACAGGACGUCGUAGAGGGUGAGAAUCCCGUACACGGCUGGUGGCUUACUUCCAUGUGAAACUCCUUCGAAGAGUCGAGUUGUUUGGGAAUGCAGCUCAAAAUGGGUGGUAAAUUUCAUCUAAAGCUAAAUAUUGGCGAGAGACCGAUAGCGCACAAGUAGAGUGAUCGAAAGAUGAAAAGCACUUUGAAAAGAGAGUUAAACAGUACGUGAAAUUGUUGAAAGGGAAGCGCUUGCAAUCAGACUCGCUUUCGGUUGAUCAAGGUUCCUUCUGGUUCCUGCACUCUGCCGUUUGCGGGCCAGCAUCAGUUGGAGCGGUGGGAUAAAGGCUUCGGGAAUGUGGCACCCUUCGGGGUGUGUUAUAGCCCGUCGCGUAAUACCGCCUGUUCCGAUUGAGGUCCGCGCUUUUGCUAGGAUGCUGGCUUAAUGGUUGUAAGCGAC
Molecule: ribosomal RNA, 1951 nt
Filed under: Orbilia sarraziniana
Lineage: Eukaryota; Fungi; Ascomycota; Orbiliomycetes; Orbiliales; Orbiliaceae
Description: eukaryotic LSU rRNA
Rfam family: Eukaryotic large subunit ribosomal RNA (bases 1319-1951)
Source: RNAcentral